This 1354-nucleotide ribosomal RNA is filed under the name uncultured bacterium. Its description in RNAcentral is "partial 16S ribosomal RNA". It matches the Rfam family "Bacterial small subunit ribosomal RNA", at positions 1 to 1351 of the family's 1533-position model. The record is from RNAcentral.
GAAUUCGCCCUUAGAGUUUGAUCCUGGCUCGGGACGAACGCUGGCGGCGUGCCUAACACAUGCAAGUCGAGCGGAGGUAUAUGAGGAGUAAUCUGAGUAUACCUGAGCGGCGGACGGGUGAGUAACGCGUGAGCAACCUGCCUUUUACAGGGGAAUAACGCACCGAAAGGUGCACUAAUACCGCAUAAGACCACAGCAUCGCAUGGUGCAGGGGUUAAAGGAGCAAUCCGGUAGAAGAUGGGCUCGCGUCCGAUUAGGUAGUUGGUGGGGUAACGGCCUACCAAGCCUGAGAUCGGUAGCCGACCUGAGAGGGUGAUCGGCCACACUGGAACUGAGAGACGGUCCAGACUCCUACGGGAGGCAGCAGUGGGGAAUAUUGGGCAAUGGGGGAAACCCUGACCCAGCAACGCCGCGUGAGGGAAGAAGGUUUUCGGAUUGUAAACCUCUGUUCUUGGAGAAGAGAGAAAGACGGUAUUCAAGGAGGAAGCCCCGGCUAACUACGUGCCAGCAGCCGCGGUAAUACGUAGGGGGCGAGCGUUGUCCGGAAUUAUUGGGCGUAAAGGGCGCGUAGGCGGCUUUACAAGUCAGUAGUGGAAGUCCCAUUUUCAAGGUGGGGAGGGCUAUUGAAACUGUAGGGCUUGAGUGCAGGGAGAGGUUAUCGGAAUUCCCCGGUGGUAGCGGUGGAAAUGCGUAGAGAUCGGGAGGAACACCAGCGGGCGAAGGCGGGUGAUGGAAGGUAACUGGAGAUGUGUCGGGAAAGUGUGGGGAGCAAACAGGAGUAGAUACCGAGGGUAGUUCACAGGUGUAAACGAUGAAUGUUAGGAGUGGGGGGUAUGGACUCGUUACGUGUGGCAGUAGAGUCGAUAAGCAUUCUGCUUGGGGAGGGGGUGAGCAUGAUGAAAAAUCCCAGGAAUGGGGCGGGGCUAGGGCUAGCAGCGGUGCAUGGGCUUUUAGUUGACGCGUUGUGUCGUGCGUUAUCACGUGUUUACGUGGAGUUCAGGAUAUAGAGAUAUGGGGAGCCUUAGGGCGCUCUGAGCCGGGGGGUGCAUGGGUGUAGUGAGUUAGUGUGGGGGGAAGCGGGGGAGAGUCCAGUAAGCAGCGCGCCUCUCCCUGAGAGUUGGUAGAGUCAGUAAUGGAGGUGUCUAUACGGGUUUCCGGGGUGGAAUGGGGGCAGGGAGGGGAAGGCGUUUAAUGUGCGUUCGCUCUAUGAUUUGGCACCCCCGGGUGUUCCAAUGGUGGAUACGGAGGGAAGUGAAGGAGGAAUUGGGAGCGGAUCCCAAUUUGGCGCCCGCAGUUGGGAUGGUGGGGUGCAACCCGCCCACAUGAAGCCGGAGUCGCUAGUAAUCGAGAAUCA